AGUGAACGUUGGCGGCGUGGAUUAGGCAUGCAAGUCGAGCGAGAACCGUAGCAAUACGGGGACAGCGGCGAAAGGGACAGUAAUGUGUAGGUACCUACCCCGAGGUCUGGGAUAGCUGCGGGAAACUGCAGGUAAUACCGGAUAAUGUCUUCGGACCAAAGGUGUGAUUCCACCUUGGGAGGGGCCUGCAUCCUAUUAGCUAGUUGGCGGGGUAAUGGCCCACCAAGGCAACGAUGGGUAGCGGGUGUGAGAGCACGACCCGCGUCAUUGGGACUGAGAUACUGCCCAGACACCUACGGGUGGCUGCAGGAGAGGAUCUUCGGCAAUGGGCGAAAGCCUGACCGAGCGACGCCGCGUGCGGGAUGAAGGCCUUCGGGUUGUAAACCGCUGUCGUAGAGGAGGAAGUGCAGGGGGGUUCUCCCUUCUGUUUGACCUAUUCUAGGAGGAAGGACGGGCUAAGUUCGUGCCAGCCGCCGCGGUAA
Molecule: ribosomal RNA, 482 nt
Filed under: uncultured bacterium
Lineage: Bacteria
Description: partial 16S ribosomal RNA
Rfam family: Bacterial small subunit ribosomal RNA
Source: RNAcentral